GGUUAUGGCUCAGCUGUAGAGCACUUGCCUCACACAUGCAAGGCCCUGGGUUCAAUCCUCAGCACCA
RNAcentral lists this transfer RNA (67 nucleotides) under Marmota monax (woodchuck). RNAcentral describes it as "tRNA.Val". The record is from RNAcentral. Lineage: Eukaryota; Metazoa; Chordata; Mammalia; Rodentia; Sciuridae.